GAAAAAGAUUCUUUGUACUGCUCUACGUUUUUUCCGUGGUUUUCUCUCUGUUAACUGAACUAGAAGCACAACUUUUAGAGAAUGCUCCUGAAGACCCGGUUCAGGAAAUGACGAUGGAUUUGAGAUUCCUCACCAUAUCC
Molecule: long non-coding RNA, 140 nt
Filed under: Mus spicilegus (steppe mouse)
Lineage: Eukaryota; Metazoa; Chordata; Mammalia; Rodentia; Muridae
Description: lncRNA (ENSMSIG00000025568.1)
Source: RNAcentral